CCUACGGGUGGCAGCAGUAGGGAAUCUUCCACAAUGGGCGAAAGCCUGAUGCAGCCACGCCGCGUGGGUGAAGAAGGUCUUCGGAUCGUAAAACCCUGUUGUUAGAGAAGAAAGUGCGUGAGAGUAACUGUUCACGUUUCGACGGUAUCUAACCAGAAAGCCACGGCUAACUACGUGCCAGCAGCCGCGGUAAUACGUAGGUGGCAAGCGUUAUCCGGAUUUAUUGGGCGUAAAGGGAACGCAGGCGGUCUUUUAAGUCUGAUGUGAAAGCCUUCGGCUUAACCGGAGUAGUGCAUUGGAAACUGGGAGACUUGAGUGCAGAAGAGGAGAGUGGAACUCGAGGUGUAGCGGUGAAAUGCGUAGAUAUAUGGAAGAACACCAGUGGCGAAGGCGGCUAUCUGGUCUGUAACUGACGCUGAGGUUCGAAAGCGUGGGUAGCAAACAGGAUUAGAUACCCCAGUAGUC
This 465-nucleotide ribosomal RNA is filed under the name uncultured bacterium. Its description in RNAcentral is "partial 16S ribosomal RNA". It matches the Rfam family "Bacterial small subunit ribosomal RNA", at positions 338 to 795 of the family's 1533-position model. The record is from RNAcentral.